Molecule: long non-coding RNA, 389 nt
Filed under: Cricetulus griseus (Chinese hamster)
Lineage: Eukaryota; Metazoa; Chordata; Mammalia; Rodentia; Cricetidae
Description: lncRNA (ENSCGRG00015038666.1)
Source: RNAcentral
AAAUUGUUCAGAAUUUAAUGACAGGGAGCCCCUUAGCAACCUCAGAAAGAGCCAUUUUGGUUGGUCAUUGAGGCAGAAGAAAGGAUGGAAUAAUUCCGGAACAGAGAAGACUUAACAUGCAGCUGGAAGGAUGGAGAAGCAAAGUGUGGCUUUAUGGCUAGUAAAGCAGCUCUGCCUGAAGGACAAAGCAAGGCUUUUAGAUGUGGGUGUUGAAGGGGAGGAGCAGACCCCUCCCUUCUAGCAGGCUGACAGUAGCUGGGAGGGCAAGCCCCCUUUGAUGAUGCAUGGAGGCAAUGUGGGAGAGGUGUGAGGAUGAUGGAGAGGAAGAAGCCUGGAUGUUCUUUGCUCUGAAAUGAUUUUUGCCAUCUUCAGUUCUGCAUAAAAAAAAA